UACGUAGGGUGCAGGCGUUAAUCGGAAUUACUGGGCGUAAAGCGUGCGCAGGCGGUCUUUUAAGUCGGAUGUGAAAUCCCCGGGCUUAACUCGGAACGGUCAAGUGAUACUGUCGGACUAGAGUACAGAAGGGGCAACUGGAAUUCUCGGUGUAGCGGUGAAAUGCGUAGAUAUCGAGAGGAACACCUGCGGCGAAGGCGGGUUGCUGGGCUGAUACUGACGCUGAGGCGCGAAAGCCAGGGGAGCGAACGGG
RNAcentral lists this ribosomal RNA (253 nucleotides) under uncultured bacterium. RNAcentral describes it as "partial 16S ribosomal RNA". It matches the Rfam family "Bacterial small subunit ribosomal RNA", at positions 524 to 776 of the family's 1533-position model. The record is from RNAcentral.